Meriones unguiculatus (Mongolian gerbil) is the source of this 6580-nucleotide long non-coding RNA. RefSeq lists it as uncharacterized. Lineage: Eukaryota; Metazoa; Chordata; Mammalia; Rodentia; Muridae. The record is from RefSeq and is a predicted model, not a curated record. The transcript is spliced from 7 exons.
AGUGCUUGAUGGCUGGAAAUAAUGAAGCGCCUUUCUCAUGGGUUGUAUGAGGGCAUGCUGGUGCCCACUGCGGAAGAUGAAGGCAGAUAGUGUCUAUAGAGUGAAGAGCUCUGGGCUCCCUUAGGAGUCCGCAUUCUGAAUUGCUGCCUGGUGAAAUUUAUUGGAGUCUUCACAGUUCAAUCUCUGAGAUCCUUCUCCUGUGGACCGUAAUUUAGACUCUCAUGCUGGAGUGGAAAAAAAAUCUGAAGGAAAUAAGAAAAAUGUCCACAUUUUUCAGAGACAGUGGGAUAGCUCACUCAGGAUGAUCCUUUCCAGUUCCCACCAUUUGCCUGCAAAAUUUCAUGAAAGAGGCUCAAGUACACAAUAAGGACAUUUGCUCAACCAUGUUUGUAGCAGCUUUAUUUGUAAUAGCCAGAAGCUGGAAACAACCCAGAUGUCCUUCAACUGAAGAAUGGAUACAGAAAUUGUGGUACAUCUAUAAAAUGGAAUAUUACUCAGCAAUGAAAAAUAAGGAAAUCAAGAAAUUUGCAGUAAAAGAAGUCGAGUAUGCCUGUCAGCACCUGGGAGCCUGAGGCCGGAGAAUUGCCACAAGGUGAAGCACAGCCUGAGGAAGAAAGCGGUGUGCAGCAGGAGAUGCAGUACCAUUUCCCCACCACUCAGAAAAGCUGGCAAGCAUAAAAUGAGCAUCUGUAUCCUUCACAAAUCAAACACUGCUGCAUUCUCCCAUGAUUAAUCAGAAUAAAUUGAAGAGCAUGGGACUCUAAAUGUGAUGAGAUCAACAAUCUCUCAUAUAAGAUAUCCGAAAUAAGAAUCCUUCACUCCACUAUAUUAGAAUGUCCAGAAAGACCUUGAUCUUCUUGAAGUUCAGAAUCUCACCUAUAACCAAGAUUUAAGCCUGGAUCUUCUAGCUCUUGUCCAGUCAGUGGCACUGCCCAAGCAUAGUGUCCUAAGUUGUAGGUUCUUCAUGUGUCUCCUUGCUUUCUGAUUCUGAUCGCUCCUCAGCCUCACUAGGAUUUGCCCUGAUCCUCAUUCAGGGUGCAGUGAACUUUGAUGUUAGAACUGCACCCUUGGAAUGUGUCUUUCCAAAGUGAAUUUAUUGUUCCCCUUCACUUGCCAUUUUCUACAUCUUCCACUUAGUGUCUGAAGUUUUGUCUAUCAUGUCCACUUCAGAGUCCACUUCUCCUUUCCAAUGUCUGCUACUUCUCUGCUGCUGACUUGGAAAUCAUUGACCCCUUCCAUGGGAUCCCAGCAUCCAUGCAUAUUAGUAGCAUACUACUAUUUCCAGAACAGAAUCAGAGGCAGUGUAAUAUGGAUCAAGACUCAGAUGUUGGUAUAAGGACAUGAAAAGAAAGAGUGGACACAGACAUUAGGAUUGGUCUUCUUCUACUCUUAAAAAAGCUAGUGCUUUUUACGAAGCAACCCGUAAAAGACUUUGUAUUAUCUAUUUAUCUAUCUUUAUUAUCACCAUCAUUAUCUAUUUAUAUCUGUUUAUGUAUGUAUCUACAUUUCUAUGUAUCUAAUCAAUCUAAUGUACACAUGAGUAUAUGCCUGAUUAAGUUUACUUGUACUACAUAUGUUCAAUUGCCCUUAGAGAGCAGAAUGUGUGUCAUAUUGCCUAGAAAUGGAAUUAGAGGUUCUUGUUAACCACCUGGUGUGGGUGCUGGGAACUGAACCCAUGUCCUCUACAAUAGCAAUAAGUACUCUUCUUAACUGUUGCUGAUAAUUGUAACAAAGCAUACACUCCCUCAAAAACAUCAACAACAAAACCAAAACAAGAUCAUUCUCUGACAAUUGCAGCAGAAAAAAAAUCUUUAAUAAUUGAAAAAAUUACUCAUAACUAUAAUUCUAGCAUUAGGCUAAAACAGUAGGAUUCACAUGAGUUCAAGUCCAACUUGGACUACAGAGGGAGACCCUAUCCUUGAAAGAAAGAAAAAGAAAGAGAGGGGGAAGUAGUAGAAAGGGAGAAGAGAAAGAAGAGUUUAAUGGAUGGAAGGGAUCAAGGGGUGGGGCCUAGAAAGAGAAAGCUAUUAAGAUCAACUCUGCCUUGUCCUCAAGUUACUCCAUAGAGUGUAGAAUAGUAGUUUCUCAGACUUCUUGCUCUUACAGACUCCAUUUUACAAGCAGCUUUUGACUAUUAUGAGAAUGGAGAGGGACUGUGCUUAGGCUGGACAUGUAAAUUUCACCAUCUGUCAACGUAUGAAGUCACGGAGGUAAAUUGGGACCAUAAGGAUACAUGAACAUUUUAAAAUCCUAUCAGAGAAACCAGGCACAAAGCCUUAUUGGAACCAACAGAUGGAGGAAAGGCUGUAACUUUGUCUUUGUUUGCUUUUUGUUGCAAUGAUAAACACCAUGACCCAAAGCAAUGUGGAAAGGUAAGGUUUGUUUGGCUUACACAUCUCAGUCACAGUCUAUAAAUGGGGGAGGUCAGGACAGGAACUCAAACAAGAACCCCCAGAGGAAUCCUCCUUAUUGACUUGAUCUCCACAGUUUGCUCGUCUUGUUUCCUUAUACAAACUAGGACCACCUACUCAGGGAUGGCAUUACCCAGAGUGGGCUGGGAUGUCCCAGUUCAAUCAUUGAUCAAGAAAAUGCACCACAGACAUACCCACAGUCCAGUCUAAUCGAGAUAAGUCUUGAAUUGACACACUUUGUUCCCAGGUGACUCUGGUCUGUAUCAAGUUGGCUAAAGAUAACGAGCACAGAUGUCUUCUAGAACACACAGAGAGGCAGAAACUCAUACUAUAAUAGUGACAGCCCCCACUGACUUUUCAUCCGAUCACUCUAGGCAUGUAUCAAGGACCAACAGGCAGAAAACCCCUUCAUUUCCCAUAGCCUUCAGCUCAGCCUGAGCUUCACUCUUAAUGCGUCCUAAAUGAAUUGCCAUCUGCCCACUGUCUUACACAUCCAUCAGGACCUGUCGUUUAUUCUUUGCUGAUUUGCUUUUCUGGACCCAGUCAGCGCUACCUUUUCUCCUUUGCAGUUGGACUCCAACCAGCAGCUCUGCUCCAAUCCAUGCUUCAGCAGCAACCGUAGUAGCUUAACUCUGAGGCCAACAGCCACAUCAGAUAUGUCAGUGAUUUCCCACUCAGCUAUUUGUCAUCAAUGCUGAAAACUGUGCAUCCUCAUCAUUUUAAAAGCUUUCACCAUUCAGGCCUCUCUGAAACUUCACUCCUCAAUCUACAUUCAGACCAUGCCAUGCUGUAACAUUCUAGAUAGAUAGAUAGAUAGAGUUAGAUAGAUAGAUGAUAUGUAGCUUAGAUAGCUAAAGAUAGAUGAUACAUAGAUAUAAAUGGAUCAUAGAUAGAUAGAGAUUUAAUGCAUGAUAUGUAAUGUAUGAUGAGAGAGUUAGUAUUAAUAAUUAAGAUUGGAAUAAAAAGAGUUUGUAUUUUCCUGGGCCAGUGUUUUCAAAGAAAGCAAAACUAUUUGGAGAGUUGAACCUUGCUCUAUCUUGAGAAUUCAUUAUUUAAUAAAUUAUGCCAUCGUGAAAAGAUGUAAACAUGGUUGUGAAUGUUUCUUAUAUGGAAAGAUUAUUGCAAAGGACAAAUAAACCUUUACAAAUAUGAAUUUUCUGCCUUGAUUUACAUGCAAGAAAAACAAAGCUCUGAGAAUUUAAAUAAAAAUGUUGAAGACCAUACCUGUAGCCAGUUAAUAGCUGUGGAGAGAGCUCUUAAUUCCUGCUCCAAGGUUGUUUGAGAGAUGACUUCACAAUGCUAAUGAGGGAAAUUUGGUAAGAGAAGCAGAGAUUUCCUUAUUCUAUUAGUGCAAAUAAAUAUGAUCAAUUGAAAUCUUGUCACAUUUCCUUGCUAUCAUUUGUUGUUGGGGAAUCAGGUCAUCACUGUAUAUUGCAUUUAUGCAGCCAAUUUCCCUCACAAAAUCUCUCCUAAAGUGGGAUAUUGAUGCUUUCACAUUUUUUAACCUAUUUAUGGUCUUACGAAGCCUAGGAAGAUGCUUUGUCACUGGGGGACUUAGUGUCAUCAUUUGCAAAAUAAGGACAAUGAAAAGCACCUGUUUUUUAAGAUUGCUAGUGAGGAUGAGAUGUGCUAAUGGAUGUUAAGAGAGCUUAAAGAGAGUCCAGAAUAUAUCAGAUACUAAGGAAGUGUUAGCUGUUUAAUAAUAGCUAAUUAAUAACUAACACAUUUGACUGUUGUUUUGUUAAACCUGACACUUUUGUUGUUGUUAACUCAUUGCCACUGGUGGAGAGAAAGUCCUUCAUCAGUUAGAGGUAAAAUGCUUAAGUAUGUUAAAACAUCAGGAAAUUAACACACUGGUGUGAAUAGGUUUUAGUUAAAGUGAAAAUGAGGGCAUAAAAGCAUGUAGUUUCUAUAGUGGAUAGUUCAGAGGUCACGGUACCUAAAAGAUGAGCAGAAACAUACCUGAAUGACAAAAAUUAACAACACAGGAGUGGAAAGAACAGAGAUAAACUUCAAAGACUCUGACUUUGCUUGAGGCUUCCAAUUAUCAUUGCUGCUGCAGAAAUGAGCCCAGUGGGGUAGCUGGCCCUCUAUCCCUGAUCCUGCUUCAAGAUUCAUGGCCUCCAGUAGGCACCCAGCCCAGCUGUGAACUGUCUGGACAAGAGUCACUAUGAAAAACUGGCAGCAAGAAGCUCAUGGGGCCUAUCCAAGAACUUUGUACUCAUAUACUGCUUGCCUGGAGCUAAAAACUAGACAGGAAAUUACAAGGGUAAGGUCCAAGGUGAGGCAAACACGGCCAUGUUCGACGAGGAAGCAAAGAAGCAGCAGACAUCAGGAUCACAUUGUUCCCAGGCACUUUGCUGAAGGUGUUUAUUGAGACAGAAACUAAAAAGAGAAAUAAUGAAACUAAGAGAUGUCAUGAAUCAAGAGGACCUAAAAGAUAUCCACAGAACAUUUCACCCAAAUAAGAAGAUAUAUACAUUCUGUUCAGCAACUCAUGGAACCUUCUCCAAAACUGACCAUAUAAUCUGUCACAAAGCAAGCCUCAACAGAUGCAAGAAGACUGAAAUAACCCCUUGUACCUUAUCAAACCACCAUGAAUUAAAGCUGGCACUCAACAAUAACUGAAACAGAAGACCUACGAACUCAUGGUAAUUGAACAACUUCCUACUCAAUGACCACUAUGUCAAGGAUGAAAUAAAUAAAUUAAAAACUAUUUAUAAUUCAGUGAAAAUGAAGGCACAACAUACCGAAGCUUAUGGGACACAAUAAAAGCAAUGUUAAGGGGAAAGUUCUUAGCACUAAGUGGCUUCUUUAAAAAAUUGGAGAGUUCUCAUUCUAGCAGUUUAAAAGCACAUCUAAAAAGCUCUAGAACAAAAAGAAGCAAACACACCCAAGAGGAGUAGACUGUAGAAAAAUAAUCAAACUCAGGGAUGAAAUCAAUAACUUAGAAACAAAGAGAACAAUACAAAGAAUCAAAAAACCAAAAGCUGGUUCUCUGAGAAAAUCAACAAGAUAGACAAACCUCCCAGACAAACUAACUAUAAGGCAAAGAGAUAAUAUCCAAACUAACAGAAGCAGAAAUGAAAAGGGGACAUAACAACAGACCUGAGAAAGUCCAAAGAAUCAUUAGGUCUUACUUCUGAAGACUGUAUUCCACAAAAUUGGAAAACCUAAAGGUAAUGGAUGAUUUUCAGGAUAGAUUUUACUUAUCAAAGUUAAAUCAAGAUUACAUAAACAGUUUAAACACUCCUAUAACCCCUAAGGAAAUAGAAGCAGUCAUCAAAAGUAUCCCAACCAAAAAAAAAAAAAAAAAAAAGCCCAGGGCCAGAUGGUUUUAUCACAGAAUUGUACCAGAUUUUCAAAGAAGAGCUAAUACCAGUACCCCUCAAAAUAUUCCACAAAAUAGAAACAGUAGGAACAUUGCCUAAAAGCCACAGUCACCCUGAUACUUAAACCACACAGAUUCAACAAAGAAAAUUUUAGACUAGUCUCCCUCAUGAACAUUGAUGCAAAAAUGCUCAAUAAAAUACUUGCAAACCAAAUUCAAGAACAUAUCAAAUACAUCAUCCACCAUGAUCAAGUAGACUUUAUACCAGGAAAGCAAGGAUAGUUCAAUACAUGAAAAUCCAUCAACAUAAUCCACCAUAUAAACCUGAAAGAAAAUAAAUCACAUGAUCAUCUCAUUGGAUGCUGAAAAAGCCUUCAUGAUAAAAGUCUUGGAGAGAUCAGGGAUAUAAGGCUGAUAGCUAAACAUAGUAAAGACAAUAUACAGCAAGCCAAUAUCUAACAUCAAAUUAAAUGGAGAGAAACUCAAAGCAAUCCUACUAAAUUCAGGGAGAAGACAAGGCUGACCGACCACUCUUGCCAAAUCUCUUCAAUAUAGUACAAGAAGUUCUAGCUAGAGUGAUAAGACAAUUAAAAAAAAAGAUAAAUGAAAUACAAACUGGAAAGAGAGAAGUCAAAGUAUCUCUAUUCACAGAUGAUAUGAUAGUGACCCUCAAUUGCAGGUUUCUGUGUUAAUCACCAUUUAUUGAAAAAAGAAAUUUCCAUACAAGAGUUGAAAGAUACACUAACCUAUGAAGAAGUCAUUAGGAGUAAGCUUAACCCUGUGUCAAUUUAGCAGAAUAAUAAUAAUAAUAAUAAUAAUAAUAAUAAUAAUAGAUUCU